RNAcentral lists this ribosomal RNA (434 nucleotides) under uncultured Glomeromycotina. RNAcentral describes it as "SSU rRNA". It matches the Rfam family "Eukaryotic small subunit ribosomal RNA", at positions 569 to 1004 of the family's 1831-position model. Lineage: Eukaryota; Fungi; Glomeromycota. The record is from RNAcentral.
AGCAGCCGCGGUAAUUCCAGCUCCAAUAGCGUAUAUUAAAGUUGUUGCAGCUAAAAAGCUCGUAGUUGAAUUUCGGGAUUGACGUAAUGGUCAUGCCUUAAGGGGUAUGAACUGUUACUGUUGAUUUCUCACCUUCUGGAAAACUUGAUGUCCUUAAUUGGGUGUCUUGCGGAUCCGGGACCUUUACCUUGAAAAAUUGAGUGUUUAAAGCAGGCAUUUUGCUCGAAUACAUUAGCAUGGAAUAAUAGAAUAGGACGGCAUGGUUCUAUUUUGUUGGUUUCUAGGAUCACCGUAAUGAUUAAUAGGGAUAGUUGGGGGCAUUAGUAUUCAAUUGUCAGAGGUGAAAUUCUUGGAUUUAUUGAAGACUAACUACUGCGAAAGCAUUUGCCAAGGAUGUUUUCAUUAAUCAAGAACGAAAGUUAGGGGAUCGAAGA